GGCUUACGGUGGAUACCUAGGCACCUAGAGACGAGGAAGGGCAUAGUAAGCAACAAAAUGCUUCGAGGUGUUAAAAAUAAACGUAGAUCUGGAGAUUCCUGAAUAGGUUAACCUUUUGAAUUGUUACUGAAUCCAUGGGCAGACAAGAGACAACCUGGCAAACUGAAACAUCUUAGUAGCCGGAGGAAAAAAAAGCAAAAACGAUUCCCAUAGUAGCGACGAGCGAAAUGGAAGCAGCCUAAACUGUGAAAAUAGGGUUGUGGGAGAGCAAUAAAAGUGUUGUGCUGCUAGGCGAAGUGGUGAAGUGUCGAACCCUGAAUGGCGAUAGUCUAGUAGCCGAAAGCAUCACUAGCUUACACUCUGACUUGAGUAGCAUAAGACACGUGGAAUCCCGUGUGAAUCAGCAAGGACCACCUUACAAGGAUAAAUACUCCUGGAUGACCGCUAGCAAAGUAGUAUUGUUAGGAAAUGGUGAAAAGAACCUCCGUCGGGGAGUGAAACAGAACAUGAAAUCGUAAACU
Molecule: non-coding RNA, 521 nt
Organism: Gossypium raimondii (Peruvian cotton)
Lineage: Eukaryota; Viridiplantae; Streptophyta; Magnoliopsida; Malvales; Malvaceae
Source: Rfam